GACGAACGCUGGCGGCGUGCUUAACACAUGCAAGUCGAACGCUGAAGUUCAGCUUUUGUUGGGUGGAUGAGUGGCGAACGGGUGAGUAACACGUGAGUAACCUGCCCCCUUCUUUGGGAUAACGCCCGGAAACGGGUGCUAAUACUGGAUAUUCACUGGUCUUCGCAUGGGGGUUGGUGGAAAGGGUUUUUCUGGUGGGGGAUGGGCUCGCGGCCUAUCAGCUUGUUGGUGGGGUGAUGGCCUACCAAGGCUUUGACGGGUAGCCGGCCUGAGAGGGUGACCGGGAACAGUGGGACGGAGAUACGGCCCAGACUAGUACGGGAGGCAGCAGUGGGGAAUAUUGCACAAUGGGCGCAAGCCUGAUGCAGCGACGCCGAGGGAGGGAUGGAGGCCUUCGGGUUGUGAACCUCUUUCGCUCAUGGUCAAGCCGCAACAAUGGUUGUGGUGAGGGUAGUGGGUAAAGAAGCGCCGGCUAACUACGUG
RNAcentral lists this ribosomal RNA (483 nucleotides) under uncultured bacterium. Its description in RNAcentral is "partial 16S ribosomal RNA". It matches the Rfam family "Bacterial small subunit ribosomal RNA", at positions 28 to 507 of the family's 1533-position model. The record is from RNAcentral.